CGCGCGGUGGAGCAGCCCGGUAGCUCGUCGGGCUCAUAACCCGAAGGUCAUAGGUUCAAAUCCUGUCCGCGCAACCA
Molecule: transfer RNA, 77 nt
Filed under: Polyangiaceae bacterium
Lineage: Bacteria; Pseudomonadati; Myxococcota; Polyangiales; Polyangiaceae
Description: tRNA-Met
Rfam family: tRNA
About the family: Transfer RNA (tRNA) molecules are approximately 80 nucleotides in length. Their secondary structure includes four short double-helical elements and three loops (D, anti-codon, and T loops).
Source: RNAcentral